This 866-nucleotide ribosomal RNA is filed under the name uncultured bacterium. RNAcentral describes it as "SSU rRNA". It matches the Rfam family "Bacterial small subunit ribosomal RNA", at positions 524 to 1381 of the family's 1533-position model. The record is from RNAcentral.
GACGAACCAAGCGAACGUUAUUCGGAAUUACUGGACUUAAAGCGCGUGUAGGCGGAUUGCCACGACGGCUGUUGAAAUCCCCCGGCUCAACCGGGGAACAGGCACCGAUACGAGUGAUCUUGAGGUGGGUAGGGGAGACUGGAACUUCCGGUGGAGCGGAGAAGUGCGUUGAGAUCGGAAGGAACGCCCGCGGCGAAAGCGAGUCUCUGGCCCCAUACUGACGCUGAGAGGCGAAAGCCAGGGGAGCAAACGGGAUUAGAUACCCCGGUAGGCCUGGCUGUCAACAUUGGGCACUGGGUAGUAGAACCGCCGAUGGUUUUACUGCCGCAGGGAAACCGUGAGAGGGCCCCGCCUGGGGAGUAUGGUUGCAAGGCUGAAACUCAAAGGAAUUGACGGGGGCUCACACAAGCAGUGGAGUAUGUGGCUUAAUUCGAGGCUACGCGAAGAACCUCUCCUAGGCUUGACAUGCAAGGAUUAGCCGGCGGAAACGUCGGUGACGCCGCAAGGUGGAACUUGCACAGGUGCUGCAUGGCUGUCGUCAGCUCGUGCCGUGAGGUGUUGGGUUAAGUCCCGUAACGAGCGAAACCCCUGUGUCCAGUUGCCAGCGCGUAAAGGCGGGGACUCUGGACAGACCGCCGGUGUUAAAUCGGAGGAAGGCGGGGACGACGUCAAGUCCUCAUGGGCUUUAUGCCUAGGGUUGCCCACGUACUACAAUGGGCCGGACAAAGUGACGCUAGACCGCGAGGUGGAGCAAAUCGCAAAAACCGUCCUCCAGUCCAGAUUGCGCUGUGCAAUUCGAGUGCAUGAAGUUGGAAUUGCUAGUAAUCGCGGAUCAGCACUUCCGCGGUGAAUGUGUUCCUGAGCCU